UCACAGUUGCACGUGCUGCUGCUGUCUUAUCAUCGACUGUAAAAGACCACCAUACAAAGUCCAGCGUGCGCGGCCACUCUGGGUGGUUCCCACAGGGUUCCAGAGAAUGCGCCCAAAGAGGGAGGAAGUCCCAAGACCGCAAUGCGGCCGGCAGACACUCGGGCUUCCUCUUCUGCAACACGUUGAUAACGACGAUGAUGAUGAGAAAGGCUACGAGAGGGCAGGCCACGCCCACCAGGACCUGCCAUCCAGCCAGUGACAGACUGAAGACGAGGAGCGGCAGCAGGAAGAAGCAGAAGAUGAUGUAGACUGCGGCGAACCAGCGGGCGUUACCCAAAGUGUCUCCUGGACUGGCCAUGGCGGCCAAGAUGGCUGUGGUCGUGGUGCCGAUGUUGGAACCGAGAGACAACGGAUAGGCUCUCUGUAUGCUGAUGACGCCAAUACCUACAGGUAUGUGCGUAAAGAAGGCCCAUGAGAUAUUUCUCUGGUCAAAUCAAUCACUUCAGAUGAAUAUGCUCCAACUGUAUUUUCGUCUCUAUUGUUGGGGGGGGGGGGGGUUUCAAAUUGAUAAGACCAAAAUAUGAAUACAGAGAAUAUGUUUGUCAGUGCAAAAGUUAGUCUGCAUGGAUCAUCAAUAUAUUGUAUGCAUGGUGGGUAGAUGGACAAUUAGGCAGAUAGUUGGAUCCGUGAAGGGAGAGAUGAGCAGGUGAUUGAUGUAUGGAUGGUAUGAUUAUAUAUUGAUUUUGAGGAUGGAUGGCUAAGUGGUACGACAACAUCAAUUGUGCGAAGGUUGAACGGAUGCAUGGAAGGAUGAAGCAGUGGACAGAAAGAAGGAUAGCGGCUUGUACAAUAUUGGCCCGAAUAUAAGACGGUGUUUUUUGCAUUGAAAUAAGACUGAAAAAGUGGGGGUCGUCUUAUAUUCGGGGUGUUGACAUUAUACCCAUUCACGACGUUAGAUGGCGCCAGAUACCAUUGAAGCAAAUGCUGAACUUGAUUCCCCAGGCCAAAGUGAACCCCUGCCACAAAGAAUAAAAAUAAAAAUAGCGGUAGCGCGAAGAAGAAUUUUUUUUUAAAUGGUAAGAAAGAAAAGAGAAGAAAAUAAUGGAAGAGAUAACAGAAAAUGGAGAAACGUAGCAACAAUCUGGAGAAAAGUGGGUCGAAGAUCGGCCAGGUUAACCGGCAGCUGAGAAGAAGUUAUGAUGCACUGUAAUUUACAUUUCAAAAACCAGAAGCCAUUCAUUUACGAAUGUAAUUGUACUUUAGUUUACAUAUUUAAAUGUUCAGAUAUUAAGAUUUGAAUGAGGCAAAAUAAGAUGCUUUUUCUCUCAAAUAUAUUGUUAUGAUCAUUUGUUUCAGAUGUACUGUAAUUAUUUUCUGUAUAAAAAUUAAUUUGGUUUUUCAAAGUCUUUUUUCAAACUUGAGUCUUGAAAAAGAGGGCGUCGUCUUAUAAUCAGGGCCGUCUUAUAUUCGGGCCAAUACGGUAUAAUUGGAUGGGUGACUGAAAAAAACUGGUUCAAUUGGUGGUUGGUUGAAUGGAUGAGCUGGCAGAUGCAAGAUGUCCCGCAGGACCUUUGGGUGGCUUUGGUUGGAUGGAUUGCUGAAAACGUGCAUGCAUCAUGGCUUCAUCAAUCAGAGUUAUGUUGGUAUUUAUUUGCAUGACUGGAUGGAAAGAUGUAGAUCCUAAAGAUGGAUGUGUGGUCAGACAAAAGGGUUGGUUGGAUGAAUGAUGGCUCGGUAGUGGACGGAUGAAGCUGAUGGAGUGGUUUGUUGAAGGAUGGGGUGGAUGAGUGGAUGGACGGAUAGCUGAGUGACCUCACCAACAAGUGGAGUGAUAGCAGAGGUAAAAACAGAGCUGCUUUGCACGAUGAACGUCAUUCCCGCUCCGACUAAAAUGGCAAUAUAUCCCGUGACCCAACCAAAGGGGAAUGGGAAAUCUGCACACAUGCACGUAUUACAGUAUUAGCAACGGACACUUUCACCAGUCCCAUAAAAUGGCUUGCAGUAUAUAAGCGAACCUUGCGUCUCCACUCACCAGUGUUCAGUAUUUUCUUGAUGAUCAUGGCCACUUGACCCUUGAGCAUGGAGUUGAGCAACUUGACUAUAAGCAACAGGCAGGAGCACAACACCAGCAGAGAGAGAGCCAGAAGGAUCAAACCCACAGCCAGGUCGGACAAGUUCACGUCGACGAAAAGGUGAUCACCUGACAACACACACAGAGAACAUGUCAAGGUCAAGUGCAUGCAGAGAUGAAUGACUUUGUGUCACCUCAUGCUCACAUUUCUUGAUGUUGUACGUCUGUGAAAUGUUCUUGAGUGUGAAGGUGUAGUUGCCGUCAGUCCAACACAUUGAUGAAGAGGUGCAGUUCUCUGGACCAGGAACGGUGACAUUUACUGUGCUCUGAAAGUCAUAGUUUAAAAAAUAUAUACAUGUAAACCAUAUUCAACAUAUUUAAAGUGGCACAAAAGUCACAAUACAUUUCCUUUUUUAUUUUUUUGUUCGUUACGGCUAUCGUUUGGACAGACGUGAGGCCAUUAGCAUCUGACAGCUUUGCAGUUUUGAGAAGCAGAAACACCUCGUUCCAGCUGGUAAUUUUGCGGCACUGCUUCGCUGACAUUUUCCAAGCCAGGGGCAAGGUAAGGAUAUCGAAAUGAUAUCUUCGCAAAAACUGCAAAGCCUAAUCUGUAGAAUGUCGGUAGCCUCACGUCUGAUACCUGAACAAAAAAGGGAGUGUGUAGAGAGACUUUAAGGAUACCGUUUCUUGUUGUUGUGCCAGUGAUGUUUGAUCCUACCGUGUUGGUGUAAGUUUUGCACCAUUUCUUGAUGAGGCUUUUAUUCCGGGCUGUUGGAUCUCCGGUGGCUAUUUCGCUUAAGACAGACUUGUCCAGCUGUCUCGGAGAGAAACACAACAUGCAGAAACGUGCAAUCGUAAUUCUAAUUGACAUUUUUUCCAUCAACAAUGAUGAACGGCCACCGUGUCAAAUAUACUCCUUUUUUUUGUUUGUUUGUUUAUGAGAACAGUCUGAUGCAUCCCACGUAUGCUUCACGCCUUUACCUUUAUAAUGGAAUCCGUGAGGACAUCAGUAAUGACAUUCAACAGGUCGGGGGCCUCUCCGCUCUGGAUUUGGAACGAGUCGAUGAUGAGCUUGGUGACCUCGUACAAGUAGCCGGUGGCGACCUCUAGAGGCAGCAGCACCAGAACCGACAGCCAGUUGAAGAAGUCGUGCACCGUUGCCCCCGCAAACGCCCUGACAAGAGUCGUCAAGACAAAUGAAAUUCACGCCACGCCGAAUGAAUUUCGCUCACUUCUAUCGGUAGCAGCAUACAUGUUGUGUUAUUAGCGUAUCGCUCGAGAUUAUGACUACCGUGUCUGUUUUAUGACACACCAGAUGAGUUAUUACACUACGACAGUAAAAAGAGAGACAUGAUCACGAGCCUUCAGCUGAUACUAUUUAUUUUUAACCCAACCCAAUAGUCAUUGGUAUCUUUGGCGAAAGGAAGGGAAAUGACGCUAUCCAUAAAUUCAGGGGUAAAUGGGAAUGAAUGGACUUGUAUUUAACUUUUUUUUUUAAUUAAUGUAAUUAUUAUUAGGCAACGGCAAGGAUUAAUUUAUUGGGGGUCAUCAAUGUUCUGUGCCCUUACGUUUCAAAAGUGCAAACUAGUUUGUACAGCAGCGUAAGAUUACGUCCAUAGCGUGGCACAAAAGCCAUGCUCAGCUACUGUUGUCGUAAGAUUGCUGUUUUUUUUUUGUUUGCUUUAGAUUUUUUCCUUACAGGUGUUUUACAUAAAUAUUUACAGCAAGCACCUGCUUAUUGACAGUUCACUUUUCAAGCGAUUUACUGAAAAACUAGCCCAGUCAAAAUAGGAAAGUGGUACAGAAAUUUAGUCCAAGGAUCUUGUAUGUUGAUGUGAUACAUCUUGCCUGAGUUUUGUAUGUCAGGGAAGAUUUAAGUUUAGUGAGAACUACAGCGAGUAUUUGCCAAAUGUGCACAUAAAAACACACUUAGCGUGCAUUUUUCAAAAUCACGUCAUCUGUAAGACAUUUAUUAUCAAGGGUAAUAUAAGGUCAAAUGUUUGGAGAUUGUAGUUUUUGGUAUAUUUACUAUUGAAACUAUUAAUAUUGACAAUUAUAAAACAUUGAAGGUGUUGGGCGUGGUCCUAAUAAAUGUACUGUAAUUACAGUGUGACUUCAUUACGAAGUUAGUGUACGUCACGCUCAAAUUUGGGAGAUGUUGCCGCCAUAGGAAGGGAACUUUAUUUUAAACCACGGUCUAUCUGUAAAGUUGUAUAAAAAAAUUAACAAAAUGAUUUUAGACUUUUAUAAUAGCCCAUGUAAGGUUUUAUUUGGUUUUUAGAAUUGCUCAUGGACCGAAUCAGAUGUUCUGACCGGCGGCAAAUUCCCCACUCUUGUAUGAGACGUUACCUGCGAAAGACACUGCGGUCCCCUGCCUGCGUCAUGGCAACCAAUGUGUUGGUGACCGAGGUGCCGAUGUUAGUGCCCAUGAUGAUCGGAACAGCUAGCUGGACUGUUAGCACUGCCCAAAAAAAAAAAAAAAAAACGACCCACGUCUCUUCACUAUCACCACAUCAUACCUAGAUGUGUCACAUUGCAUGCAUGUUGGUGCUCACAUCCAGAGGAGACCAUGCUGACAACAAUGGAGGAUGAAGUUGAUGAGCUCUGAACCAGUAACGUGACCAGGACGCCAAUGACCAGACCAGCCAGAGGGUUGGACAAGACAACAUUGUCCUGGAAAAUGUCGCCUGCUGCUUUUCCUAUGUGGAUAAAGUGGAUGACAUUCUUUUUUUUUUUUUUUUUAAUCUUGUCCAAUUGCCCCAAUAGAGACAUGUCGGACCUUUAUACGCAUACCUCCUACAAGCUGGAAGGCUGAGCUCAGGAUGUCUAGGGAGCAGAUGAACAUGUAGAGGAGGCCGAGCAGCACAGCCAGUUUCACCACUGACACCAACACCCGCAGCACCUUCCCUUUUGUGUCCAAAGCUGA
Hippocampus zosterae (dwarf seahorse) is the source of this 4997-nucleotide long non-coding RNA. RefSeq lists it as uncharacterized. The record is from RefSeq and is a predicted model, not a curated record. Lineage: Eukaryota; Metazoa; Chordata; Actinopteri; Syngnathiformes; Syngnathidae. The transcript has 4 exons.